This 15645-nucleotide long non-coding RNA is filed under the name Ananas comosus (pineapple). Its description in RNAcentral is "long non-coding RNA (ACOM_LNC044337)". Lineage: Eukaryota; Viridiplantae; Streptophyta; Magnoliopsida; Poales; Bromeliaceae. The record is from RNAcentral.
UGCCUCUGCUGCACAAUAUACAAUGCAUCCUAGAUGCCGGGAUCUCAACUAUCCCUAAGUUCACGUCAAGUUUACUACACUAGACUCGAUGCCACUCGUUCGGUCAUUGUAGUAAGUUUUCUACUAGUUGACAUGCCACUCGUUUCAAUUUAGUGUUUCUACUACACUAGUUCAAUGCCACUCUACUAGGCUAUCAUAUGUCCAAGUUCGGCUCUUUAUGCCGCUAUAGGAUUCUAUGUCACAAAACCCAAUCCUCAUGCUAUCCUAGUCCACGUGUCAAGCUCACCCCGCUACACUACCAAGAAAGCAUGCAAGGAAAUGGAAAUGUACAACUACUAUUCCUAUAGCACAAUAUGAUCAAUAUAAUUAACUUAGACAUAAAAGAAAACCCGGAUGUUUCGGGAUGACACCCCCCACCUUUUGUGUAUAAGGAGGCUCUAGAAAUGCGCUUCGGCGUUCUUUACGACGAAGCCUCGGUCUCCUUGGUCCAAAUGACGCUCAAUCGGCCUUGUUUCGCCGAUAGCUCUUGACCCGCUCGACGAAUGCGAAAUCCGACUUCGCCCCCGCGUUUUGGCACCUACCAAUUAGGUUUACAAGGCCUCAAAUGAGAUCAAGCUCAUACUUUACCAAAAACCCUAUUUUGGUGCCCUAGGGUUCCCAUCUUGCCAUUUGCAAUUUGGAACCCUAACUCUAGCUUCAAUCCUCCAACAAUGGUGCUAGGGGUCCAUUUGACCCCAUUUCCAAAGCUCAAAACCCAAAAACCCUAAGUUUCAUAGCUAGGGUUUGUAGCCUACCUCUUGUUGUAGCUUCAAGAGAGAAGAGAGGAUGAAGGAGAGGUCCAAAAGCCUUCUUUUGUUGAUCUCCUUCUUCUUCUCCUUCCUUUUCUCCCUUCAUUUCCUUCUCUUUUCCCUUCUUCUUCUUCUUCUUUCCCUUCUAGAGAGAGAGAGAGCAAUAAAGUGUGAGGGAGAGAGAGAGAGAGUGGGCUGAGGGAGAGUGAGAGGGAGAGAGGGACUAAUAAGCCCUCUAAUGUAACAAUAUCCAGUUAAAUCCCUCCACUUUUCACUCUGUGCACUGCCCUUACUGGGCUGCCUGCGCGCGAAGGGACCGGUCUCCCCGACUUGGGACCGGUCCCCGAGAGCUUCAGCUCGGGUCACGCGUUCGGGUACCGGUCUCUCCCAGAGAGACCGGUCCUCGGGAGACCGGUCCUUGCCUCUGAGACCGGUCCCCGAGAGCAACAUUUUCAGGACGUAGCCAAAUUUCUGGCUUUCUCGCUGGGAUCACGUUCGGGGACCGGUCCCUCACUGCCAGGGACCGGUUGCCUCAAGCAACCCCCGCAACACCAGCCGAUGGGACCGGUCUCUCCCUGCCAGGGACCGGUCCCCGAGAGCAGUUUUGCUCCAGUGCAGGUUUCGCACCAUUUGCUCUCGUGGACUCGUUUUCAAUGCACUUUUGGUGAUUUUAAUAUCUUUGGCUUUUCCAAAGCUCACCAACACGACCCUUGGUCGGUUCUGGAUGAAGUCUAAUCCUCGUAUUUCGAGAAUUCACUUCCUCACAAAGCCUAUGCCACUGCCACUCUACCUGUGUAUAACCCAAGGUAGCCUAUGGGCUCACAGGCUGCAUAUAACCCAAGGUAGCCUAUGGGUUCACGGGUUGGCCCCCUCUUGUGGUGGAUCAGACCGCUGGUGUUCGUGAAAUGCGUACGAGUCUCGGACGAUCAAUGCUGAUAUGCUCAAUAGCCAACCGUCGGCAACCAGUCGACAAUCACCGCCCCUCGGGGCAAACCGACCAAUAGGUCAUCACACUAUAAGGAAGCACAAGAACCGACCGCUCAGGUCAACUAGGAUGGAACCACUUAACACCCUAUCGAAGAUAUGCAAGUAUAAUCCAGAACUAACCAUCAACCACUAGCCGACAAUCCUACCCCUCAGGGUAUACCGACCGUAUAGGUCAUCACACAAUGAAAGUCACGAACUGACUAAUUAGGUCGCAAGCAUAUCCAACAGUAGAUCUGAGUAAACUAUAAUCAACCGUCGGCAACUAACCGACAAUCCCACCCCUCAGGGUAUACCUGUGUCACGCCCGAGUACCAGCGGAAGCAUAUCCGGUACGUGCACAGACCCGCCAUACACCUGCCGUAUAUAAGGCGUCUACAAGAACACAAGUCGCUAGGAAGAAAAACAUAGAAAAUCCUAUCCUGAUAUCAGAGCAAAGUACAAGUCGAUAAUACUAUCAACAAUAGCAUAAGGAGUACACAAUCCAAAAUCUCAACUAAAAGAGAAAAUAUCACAACUAUAGUAUCUGGUUCAACAGUAAAUAUACAUCACGAGGUAUACAAAAAAUAGGUACAAUGGUGGUCUCUCUAUAUAUAGGGACAUCACCCUCGGCCGUAACCCGAGUAGCAAGGUGAUCGACUAGCAUGCUCCUAGCAAUGUCUAGCUAGACGCGACUCCCUUGCCACGAUCCCUAGCCUCUCCUGUAACAGGCUCUGUAAAAACAACCACAAAAAGGGCGUGAGAACUAUUAACAAUAGUUCCCAGUGGGUAAGCCGCCAGCCUCGACGAAUUACACCACUAGGCUCAUGAUGUAAUGAAUGAAAGUAAAAGCAGUGAUUGCAUGAUAUAUCUAUAUGAUGCUAACAAGUAAUGAGCAUGUAAUCAACAUGUAAUCAUAAUUUCUGCAGUAAUGAAUCAAACUAUAUAAUAGAAACAUAGCCACUACUGUAUCAUGAACAUAAACAUGAACAUAAGCACGAAUGUGUAAGUACUACUGUACACUAUAACUGGUAAGCAUUCAUUACUGUCAUUUGUCAUUUAGAGCUUUCAUCUCAUUUAGAGUUUCCUUUCAUUCAUCAGGGCCUACCCAAGGUAGUCCGGCUUGCGCCGCGCCUAAUGGCCCCGUGGUAGUAUACACUCCCCACGGCAAUCCACUUCGGCACCCAAUCCCGCACGGGCGAGCAACUGUCGCGUAGGCCAACUCCGGAGUGCCGGCUUGUAGGGAGCGACCCUCACAAGCGUGUGCGAAUGAGCACGAUGGCAAGCAAGCAUAAUCCACAGUCCAAUAUGUCUCAAUUAUCAUGUUUUAGCUCACAAUAUUCUCGCUCUCGAUCCUUUGAUCGGAAUUUCAAUAUAACAAUUAUUGACAACAACUAGUAUCCACUAGACUAAUAAACAUGCGACAGUAAUGCUAAUUUACAUAUGGCAUUAGAAUCUUUCCACUAUCAUGGCACUAUCAACAUAGGCAAAAAGCAUGUCAUUGUUCUCUACUUUAGAGUCAAGAGAAUGUCAUUGUUCUCUACUUUAUAGAAGCAUUAUAAACUUAUCUCUUGGUUGUUCUACUGAACUAAACAAGAAUACUAUUAUGCAUGAAUACUUUUAUGCAUGAAUGCUCUCUACUUCAUAGAGGUUCUAUUUCAAUUAUAUCAAAUGUUAUAGUGACAUGUUCCAAGUACUUUACUAAUCACAAUAAUCACAAUUACACACAACUAUACCAAUUCUAUAGUCACAUAUAGAACAUAGGGGAGCUUCACUUGCUCUGGUUAGGUCAAACCCACCUAGUACUAAGCUCAAAUCAGUCCAAAGGAAUCCCAAGGAUCAGCUCCACUAGGUCUCAAUCCUGCUGAACACAAAGCAUGAAUAUCGUAUCAAAACUACAACCGAAAUGUCCAAUUUCGGCGCAAUUGCACUUAGUACAUAGUAAUAGCUUAAAUCCCUGUUUUGGCUCAGUUAAUACCUCAAGUUAAGCUUCCAAAAUCCCUCACGCAUCAGCCGGAGAUAAUCCGAAGGUCCGUUGCAAGCCCGCUGCGAACCAUUUCCAAAACAGCAACAAAGUCAUCAAAUACUAAUAAAUAUAGUCGGAAUCUUGCGAAUUCAGUUUUCUAACUGAAAUUCCUGCUUACCUCAGGUUAGAACACUUCUAGACCAGUCCCCAAGGUCACCAAAUUAGCUCAAAGUGGUUCAAAAACCUACUGCGAAGGAAUCAUUCCAAACUGCAUUAGUUACCCGAUUAAACUUCAUAUAGUUCCGAACUAGCUUCAUAAUUGGCUAAUUAUCUCUAUCAAGCUUCAAAGUAGCAUAUCCCUGGUCUAAGGAGAUUAAUUCACAGCUAAUUAACUCAUCUUUAAUUGCUGAAACCUCAGUUUAAAACAAUUGGAAGCAAAAACCUGAAAUUAAUACCCGAUUCGACUACUAGAACAUCGAUAACGAAAAAGUUGAGCCGAUUACCUUAUCAACCCUCCAACCAGCAACCUACUAGUCUAAAGCUGUGAAGAACCUUCCACAAUACUCUCUCACACGUCCACCAGGGCUCUGCGACACUCGCAAACAGCGGAGAACAAGCGGUGCGACAAAAACGAGCUAAAUCGGCGAUUUCUUUGUAGAGAAAGAAAAACCCUAGAGAGAGAGAGUAAGGAUGGUGCAAAGACCUUUCUCUGGGCUCUAGCAUCAUCUAUGGGGCUCCAGAGGUCGUGCUGGGGUCAAGUAGAUAUGGAUUAGAAGUGAAAUUACCAAAUUAACCUUGCUGCCACGUAUCUGCCAUUCUGUACCGGUACACCAAGCAAAAAAAUACUGAUUUCGCCAAAUCAAUGCACUUUCUUGCUUUUAGCUUUCCAAACACCCUCUAACUUGUCCAAAAACUUGUCCAAGCCUUUUAGAACAUAUAGGAUAGAUCCACAUAUCAUUCCUCACACUCGAACUUCGCAAUUUGCAAAAGUUCAGUGUAUUACAACCUGUAAGGUACCGGACUUUUAAAAUCAUGAAGUUACGAUGUACAUUUGGUUGGAGAGCCAUUAGAAUGGUUCCGGUGAAGUUCCGGUUAAGUCCGGAAGCAUUCGGGCGUUUUCGGUGCGCGUAAGCGCUAAAACGGAGCCCGAAAGGCUAUGUUUGUGACACACGGGACCUUUGUAAAUUGCGAGGUUUGAGUGAUUGGAUGUGUUCCGAGCUAUUCCACACUUGGUGGAGGGUCGUAGAAUGUUUUUCGACCUAAAAAGUUCGAAAACCUGAGUUCUGGACGAGUCCUGAGAGUUUUUACUCUCGAGGACCGGUCCCUAAUAGGAGAGACCGGUCCCCCAGUGAGCAGUGUUGCGGCCAGCCUGAGGCAACCGGUCCCGGGCGGGGAGAGACCGGUUCCCGAACAAUGGUUUUUCGGGUUCGACACGAGAGACCGGUCCCAUGCAGGGAGAGACCGGUCCCUCUGGGCGAAAAUUGCCCAGUCCGGGCUGAUGUAAAUUUGAGUUUUUGAGGGGCCUCUCUGGAUUUUGUUACUCUAAAUGGUCUAUAUGGUCAUUUCACUCUCUUCUCUCCUCAUUUCUCACCCUCUCCCCAUACCCUCUAGAGAGAGAAGAAGAAGGAGGAGGAGAAGAAGAAGAGGAGGAGCUUGCUUGAGGGAGCUUGGAGCUUCAACCCUUUCUCUCCUUCCUACCCUUGCAAGGCUUGGAGCUUGCUUGUUGGGCUUGGUGGUGGACCAAUCUUCAACCCUAGAAGAUUUGGAGCUUAUUUGGAGGCAUCUAGAGAGGUUAGUACUUUGAUUCUAACCUUUGAUCCUUGUAUUGGUAGGUUUUUACCAUAUGGAACCCUAGAAUGGGAUUUUAGGGUUGAUUUUGGGGCUUUUUGAUCUAGGACUUUUGAGGUUCGAUUACUUGGUUUAGAAUCUUCCUUUGGGUUGGAUUGGAAGGAUUCUAGCUUUCUUUUGGGGCUUGAGAGAGGAUUUCUACUCCUUAGGUGAGUUUUUGCCCUUUUCGUGUGAUUGUUAAUGUUUGAGCCUAGAGUUGCUCGUAACGCUUGUGUAUCGCUUCGCUCAUUACUUUUAGGGUAUUUUGAGACUUGUGGACAACUCCAUUCGGCGAAGCGAGGGACUACGCGACGGUUCGGUAGGUUUGACCUAGCCACAUAAUGAGAAAAUCUCAUUUGUGAUGAUUUGUGUAUCGUUAAAUGUUAAAGCAUGCAUAAUCAUGUUAAAUAUAAUUAUUGUGAAUUUUAGUAUGCUUAAUAUGUCUAUGUUAUGUGUAAGAGAAUUUCGGACCUCUAUGUAGUAGAGAACUAGCAUGUGGAACUUGUACAUGUUUGGCAUCCUAUGGAGACUUGAUAUCAUAAUUCCUAUUGUGAAAAUGAGCAUCUCUUGCAUGCAUUUAAAGUUUUUCCUAUUUGAGACUUAAAGACUCUUAGUAAGCCAUAAAGAGGCUCGGGGACUUGUACUACUUGUGAAUAAUUGGGCUAAUGUCAUAAAAGGGCAUUGAGCUCGGGUUAUGUGUGAACCUAGUGGAUAGUGCCAUUGAGAGAAUUGGAACAUGCUUGUACAUCGAAACGUCUAAGUGUCAUAAAGGGGCACUAGACUUAGUAAAUAUUGGAACUUCACAUUGUGACAUUGAACUAGAUCUUUGAGAUGCUAGCGACUUUUGCCAUGUUAGAGACAUGAUGAUUGGGUAUUUGAGACGUUGACUACGCUUGCUUGCCAUUUGUGCUCAUUCGCACAUGCUUGUGAGGGUCGCUCCCUACAAGCCGGCACUCCGAAGUUAGCCUACGCGACUUAUGUUCGCUCGUGCAGUAUCGAGAAACCUACGGGGUCGGGAAGGAUAGACUCAUUCCUAGAGUGGGAAUGCUGGGGCUACCACCGACACUUAGGUGGCACAAGCUGGACUACAAUAUGUGGGUCCUAGAACAUGUUGGAAACAAUGACAUUUAAUCGGGAGAUGACAAUCACUACUAGAUAGGGUUAGUAGUUGGAUUACUUUGACAUGCUUAUAGCAUAGUGUUGAGACAUGUAGUAUACUUGAUAGUUUACUUACUGCAUCGUAGUAUACUUAGUUGCCAUGAUAGAGCAUACUCGUUAUACAUUGAUAGAACAGGUUAUGACACAUACUUGUUGCCAUGUUGGGACAUAUUACUUAUGCACUGAACAUUCUUCUUUAUGAAAGAGUAAAUAUAAAGCAUUGACAUCGUAAUGUUUAUAGUAUAGUAAGUUUAGUAAACAUGCACACUUUCAUACCGCAGUUAUCUUUAUUAUUAUUGAUGCUUUUUCGUACUUACCCUUUUCUUUUGGGGCCUAGUGGUGCAUUGAGCUGAGGUCAGUAAUUGCCCACUAGGAACUAUAAAUUAUAGUUCUCACGCCCUCUGUUUUACGUUUUCUUUCAGAGCCUUCCACGCCGGGAGAGGCUAGGGACCGUGGAAAGGGCGUUGCUUUGAGCUAGCUCUUCGGCGAGUGAUGAGUGGAUGGUGGUCUACCUCUCGAUGUUUUAUUUUGGAGAGGUUGAGAGUUGUACCAGUGUUUUAGAGACCACCCUUUUGUGUACUAUUUUGGAGACGAUAGUGUAUAACUUUAUGUUUCACUCUUAUUAUUUAGUACUUUCCGUUUACCUUGUUAUAGAUGACAGAUCUAUUUGUGCUCUGAUAUCUCUAGAUGUAGACUACCCUUGGUUUCUUUUCCGCUGUUGUUUUAGACGCCUUAUAUGUGCUGACAUAUGGCGGGUCUGGGCGCGCCACCGGGAGGGCCUCUGCCGGUCCCGGGGCGUGACAAUGUUGGGCCAUGAACUAAAUACGGCGUUAGCGUGGAUGAAAAGAUGAUGUAAAUACGCUCGAAAACAUGUUUGGGGAGUCUCGGUUCGAUUUGAAAAGAAUUGGAGGUCAAACGAGCGAAAACGAGGGAAAACGGAGAUGAAACGGUGAAAAAGCUGAAAUUUAGCUAAGUCUGGGCUGGAAGUCCCUCUGGGACCGGUCCCAGGCAGGGAGAGACCAGUCCCCGAAGCCCGAAAAUGCCCAUUUUGGGCUGUUGCGUGAAUGGCAUUGUUGAGGGGGUUUAUUGCAAUAUUGCAUUAGUAGAGGCUAUUAGAGGGUGGAAGGAGAUCCUUCUCUCAUUUCUCUCAACCCUAACAUCCUAAAACACUCCCUCUCUCUCUCUAAAGCUCUCAUUUUCUCUCUCUAGAAGGAGAUCAAAGAGAAGGAGUUGGAGGAGAAGCAAGCUUGGAAGUGGGUUUCAUCUUCCUCAUCUUCUUCCUCAGGGAAGAGCUUGGUUGAGGUAAGCUUCUUGCCUUUUAAUGGUGGAUCACUAGAGUAUGGGUUUUAAUCUCUAGAAAUGAAUUUAUUGGAACUUUAGCAUGCUAGAGAAGUGAUAAAUGCUAGAAUCUAGAGAUUACAUGAUAGAUUUUUGCAUAGUUGUGACCUAGGGCUCCAAAAUGGGGUUUUGGGAAAUCUAGGGUUUUGAUCUAAAUUGAGUGGUUGUAAACCUAAUUGCUAGGUAUUCUGACGCGUUGGCGAAGUCGGUUCGGCGAUUCGUCGAGCCGAUGCAAAGAUAUUGAAGAAAAGGACCUUCCGGCAUUCGUUUCCGCCUGGAGGGCCGAGGCGGCGUCCAUAAAUCGCGGGGUCGGAUUCCAAGUGUCGUAGCAAGAAACCGAAGACCUAUAAUUUUCGAAUCGCGGAUCGGAGAUCGUUCGGCAGUCGCGCGCAAAUUGGGUCGAGCCGAGCGGCGUGCGCCGCGGGAGGCCGAUUGCGAGUGACGACGAGCAAUCGGAACGCGAUAAAAGGUGGGGGGUGUCCAUCCCGAAGCAACUGAGCUUCUUCCUAUGUCCGAGUUAGAAUUGUUAAUCAUGUUCCAUAUAUUUAUUCUUAUGCAUUAUAGGAUAAUUGUUAUAGAUGCAUUCUUUCCUUCCUUUCCUUGCAUGCUUGCUUAGUAGUGUAGCUGGGUGGCUUGACACAUGAUUCUAAGGGGCAUGAGGAUUGGGUUGUUUGACAUGAGAUCCUAUAGUGAUAAGAAUUGGUGAACUUGAAUUUGGUAACGAGAACCAAUGGAUCGUGAAUUAGUGUAUUAGAAACACUUGGAACCUGGAUGAGUGGCAUGUAAACAAUGUUAAUAACAUGACGAGUGGCAUCGGAACCUAGUUUGUGGCAUGUUGCAUGAGAUGGCAUAUUGCAUGAGAAUUUGGUGUAGUGACACUUAUUGUCACGCCCCGGGACCGAUACCAAUUUGGGCCGGCCCGAGCACGUCGAACAGACGCCGAACGGACAGAGUUUCCCCUAUCCGCCCAAGGCUCAUCACAUGUACAAUUUCAAACAAGAAGUGCACUAGCGGAAACAUACACAUACGGCUUACACGAGGGUAAGCAAUAGCCAUGAGUGAGAGAAAGGAAUUAAACAUCUACACAAGUAAUAUGAUUCUUUUUAGAUCACAUACAUUGUAUUUAACUAACUUGUACAUCAUAAAGUCUUUACAUUCUUUCAUCAUUUCUUUUACAUCACAUUUACCUCAAAAUGAUCAUUGCAUUCUUUUCUUUACAUCACUAGUCAUCAAAUACAAAAGAUGAACAUAGGGUACUCUGCUAACAAAAUAUAAACCAAGCUCAGCUCUGGUGGCCUCUGUCUAAGGCGCGAUACCUUUACCUCGGUCGCUCGCCGGCUCGCUCGGUCCCGGCUCUGUGGAAUAGUGGGGUGAGAACUACAACAAAGUUCCCAGUGGGUUCGGCCUCAAUCUCACCGACUUUCCCACUAGGACUAACUCAAGCAUAAUAGAAAGGAUAAGCUGCACAUAGUAACCAAUCUACACAUGAUGCUAAUAUGCCUGAACAAUAAAGCAAGGAAUAUGCUCAACAUUAAACAUAUGCAGAUUAUGCAAGUUCUAUCGUUCUUUGACUUUACUCUUUGUUCUUUAUUCUUUAUUCUUUGUUCUUUGCUCUUUGUUCUUUAAUCUCAAGGCUCACCCGAGGGUCUCGCCACAUUAACUUGCUUCACAUUAAGUCCAUCAUCGCAGGAACUCACCCGCUAGGACCGUCCUCGGGUUUACUCCAACCCGUGAUGCAAAAACUCCGGAGCGCAUCGCCCGAGGGGGAGCGACCGCCCUCGAGCACGGAACUCAUAGCAAGUAUGAUCGAAUCCUUAACUCUAAGGAUUAUAUGUUCAAUCAUGACAUUACACUAACUCUAGUGUUCUUUUCAUCACUUUACAUUGCUAACUUUAGCAAUUCAUUGAUCUUUACAUUUCUUUACUUUUGGCUAUCUCUAGCACUCAUGUCUUUACCUUUGCACGUUCUUUAUGUCCCACUUUGCUUUAACUUUAAUCAUUGUCAUCAUUCUUUACAUCACUUUAAUCCUUUGCCUCACACUAACUCUAGUGUCACUUUACUUUACAUUACCGAAUGCCACUCGAUCUAUGUCAUUGUGUCACUCUGUUCUUUUGCCUCACUUAGGUACUCACAUUUUCUCUCAUGCAUACAUAUAGGGUUUUUCACAUUCAUAAGGUUCUCAACCAUCACAUUAAGCAAGUUGUACUCACAAUCAUGCAACAUCACAUUCCCGUCAUUACUUUACCCUAAAAUGCAUGCAACAAUUUAUAAAUACAUAUGCUCAAUUGAAUGACACAUUAGGCAUAGAGAGAAGUUCAACGAGUUUGAAUAGCACCACCCACCUCGUAGGUUUACUUAGGUGCUCUGGAAAUUAUCUUGGGAUUUAUAGGCUCCUCGUUCUUCACCUGCGGCAAAACGAAGCCAACUUAGGCCAUUUUGCCCAUAUCUUUACAUACACUUUUCGUAACGCUUUUCCGAGCGCACCAACGCGUCGAAAAUACCCCCAAUUAGGUUUCUAGAGGGUCAAUUGUACUUUAGAAACAUCACGAGCAAAAGCCCCAAUUUGGGUGCCCUAGCUCUAUAGCAUCAUCAAACCUAGGGUUUGAUCUCAUUGGGAAGCAAAAGUAGCUUCAUUAUACUCUAAAGAGUCCAUCUAAACCAUUCUUAACUUUAUUAAAACCCUACUUAGGGUUCCACCAUGAGAGGAGGUGGAGCUCACCUUCAAGCUUCACCCAUAGACCAAACCAUGGUUUUGAUCUCUAAAGAAGCAAAAAGAAAGCUUCAAAUACUCAAGAGGUUCUAUAAAAACCAUUUCUAGCCUAAUCCAAACCCUAGUUUGGAUUCUACCAUGAUUAGGGUUCAAAGCUUACCUUGUAAGCUUUCCUUUUCCAAGCUAGAGGAGGAGAGGAGAGAGUUGCUUCAACUCUUCUUCUUGUUCUCCACCUUCUUCUCCUUCUUUUCCUUCUUUUUCCUUUGUCUUUUUCUUCUCCUUCUUGUCUUCUAGAGAGAGAAAGGGAGGAGAGUGUGAGAGGGAGUAAAAUGAGAGAAAUAUCUCAUUUGCCCUCCUACUAUACUCUAUGGGUUACAAAACUGCAGAUAAACCCCUCAACUUUCACUCUUUCACACUGCCUGGACUGGGUUGUUCGCGCAGGCGGGGACCGGUCUCUCCAUCAGGGACCGGUUCCCGAAGCUCGUCCCAGCGCAGCCAGAGCUGCCGCGCGCGAUGUGACUGGUCUCUCUUUGGGGGGACCGGUCUCCGGGGGACCGGUCUCUCAGGCAGGGACCGGUUCCCGAAGCCUGCCUUCUCAGGACUUAGCCGAUUUUUCGGCUGUCUCAUUUCUCACGCGUUCGGGGACCGGUCUCUCCCACCAGGGACCGGUCCCCGAGAGCUGAAAAUCAGCAGUUUGCAGAAUUUCGAUUCAUUAGCUCUCGAAAACCUUCUACAACACACUUUCGACCAUUUUAACACCUUCGGACUUUCCGAAGUGUACCGUCCUCGCACUUUGGUCAAUUUGACUAAAGUUUGAUACUUAUUUGCCGAAGCUUUUCGGUAUAUUACACUUAUGGCAUUGAACAUAGGGAUAGGUGGAUUUCCCUAGCUAUGAUUCGGGUAGAGAACCUAAAGUGUUGUGUUGUUAACCCUAGAUGGUAGGGUAUCCUCGAGUUGAGAGGAUUGGAUCAUGCUCACUGUCUGUUCAGAACUUGUGUUGGUCGCUCCUCACAAGUGUGCGCUCCGGAGUUUUGUCACAUGAGGGAUAGCCUUAUGGGGUCCCGCAGACGGUCUCCGGUUUGUGAACGAGUUGAGUUUCCUUACCAUGAGAUGCAUGUGAGUCGUGGGCGAACCUCAGGGUUGGCUAAGGAUUGGAUGAUGACAUGGAUAACUUGAGUCUCCUUACCUUACGAGAUGCAUGUGAGUCGUGGGCGAACCUUAGAGUUGGCCAAGGAUUGGAUGAUGACAUGAAUAACAUAGUGAAUUUGCAUCCAUACUGUGAGUGGACAUACUAUUCCUUCACCUAUGAGAUUUGAGCGGGGUAGCUCUGUACCUAUUAGAGUGAGAUUUGAGACGGGGCGAAGAGCGGGGUAGCUCUUCACCUGUGACCUUCCAGAUAUAAGCCGGGCAAAGAGCGGGGUAGCUCUUUACCUAUAGCAUUCGAGAUAUGAGUUGAGCCAGGCAAAGAGCAGAGUAGCUCUUUACCUAUGGCAUUCGAGAUAUGAGUUGGGUGAGACAAGGGCGGGGUAGCUCUUCACCUACUAGAAUUGAGAUCUUAGGCGGUUAGUCUAAUAGAUUGGGUAGUGACAUGAAUAGUGUAACAUACCACACCCCUCGUAAAUUGUGCCGAGUUCCGUCGAAAUGAGCGGGACGCGGAGUUGAACGAGUUAGUAUGGGCUCUAAGUCACGUGGAGCCUCUAUAAGGUGUUAAGGGACCCGAAAUGAGCGGGACGCGGAGUUGAACGAGUUAGUAUAGUCACUCAUGCAUGUAGGGUUAAUUCACAUGUGAACUUUGGUUGUUUCAUUAUGUUUUCUCUAAUGUAUUGGAGAGUAGAAAGAUAUGGAACCGCGAUGGACAUGUAUUGUUGAACCCUAGAGAUUGCAUGAUGGUGAGACUUGGUCUUGACAAUGGUAAAUACCUAUGACAUUGACAAUAGAGAGAUAGAUUGGCAUUGACAAGUAGGUGUUAAACAUAGGUUUAACCAUAGUGACAUUGUGACAAAAUGAUUAGCAAGUGACAUGAACAAAUGGGUAGAGAACCUAGCAUAAAGGUGGCAUUGUAACUAGUGGCUAAGCAUCCUCAAGUUGGGGAUUCGAUCGAUACUCAUGAUAAGUCUUGGCUUGAGGGUGGUAGCUCCCCCUCAAGCGGUGAGUUUCCGGAAAUAGUCACCUCGGGGAGCGAGGUCCCCGACGACGGUCCCUAGGGUUGGUUCGAGGCCCCCUGUUAUGACGGGAUUUGGGUUAUGAGUUAUUGGGGUGAACAAAGUUAACCGGCAAGAUUGGGUAAGAGCCAAAGCUUAUUUAUGAUUGGAGCAUGCAUGCAUUUCCAUUAUCGCAUUGAAUUAUAUAUCCGCUGACUUCCUUCUUGCAGGCAUAGUAUUAGUUGCAUUAGUAGUGGUUACUUUCCUUCUUUUGAAAUACUUAUGCCUGGAUAGACCUAGUGGGUAAGUCGGCGAGGUCGGAUGCCGAGCCCACUGGGAACUUUGUUUAGUUCUCAUACCACUAACCCUACAGGUCCUAGCACGAGUGGAGCGGCGGAGGACCGUGGCAAGGGUCUAGCGCCGUAGAUAGCGGCCACCGGGACUAUUUUAUAUUUUGUAGUCAUUCCCUUUUGUAUACAUGAAUCAACUUCUUUUGUUGAUUUAGCAAGUUGUAAAGUUUGAAACAAUAUGUAAUUUUGGGUGAAUGGCUAAAUGUAAAGAAUUAUGAAUGAAAGCAUGAAAUGUGAUAGCUUAGUUUACUUUUAUUUGAUGCAAAGGCAAUCAAGUAUUAUGUAUGGUUGAAUGUCUUAGCUUAGAGCUUUCUCUUCCGUUGUCACUUGCCCUCGUGCAAGCCUUGUAUAGUUGCUAAUCUCAUGGUUUGAUUGCUUAUUAUACAUGUUUUGGAGCCUUGGGUAGACAGGGGAAGCUCUGUCCGUUCGGCGUCUGUUGACGUGACCGAACCCGACCAAAUUGGCGGGGUUUGGGGCGUGACAGAUAUAAUGGUAUCAGAGCCCAAGUGGAAAGCAAAAGUCUAGGAGUGACCUAGGAACCAUAGGUUGGAGGCCUUAGGAACUUAGGAAACGUUUAACGUGGAUUUGGCUUAUGCGAAAGCGAAUGAUUGGGUUAACGAUAACACUUCUCUAGAUGGAAGUAGAGAUGGACUAGAAGGCUUAAUCGUUGUCCGCUUAAGGGACCUUGUGGGGCGGCCGACCACAUGACUCCAAGAGUGGAAUAGCUAUGUUCAAUGACAUUUAUUAAACCUUUAACCUUUCAUUUACCCAAUCUUUGGCGAGGCCCUAGGGCUCACCCAUAACUCAUCUUUCAAUCCCAAAGUGGGGAGGGAGCUCCAAGUGCACCCAAGCCCGGGACCGUCUGCGGACCUCCAUGUGGUCCGGACCUCCAAGUGGUCCUAGUCGCGCGACACUCCGGAGUACUCGACGACAAUCCCCUCUAUGUGGGGAUUGGAUGGCCAUACCAUCCUAAAUGCAGACUGUGAGCUAGAUCUAUCCUCUCCAAGUGAGGAUACACUGUAACUAGGGUCACACCCAAUCCAAUCCUCUCCAAGUGAGGAGGCUCUACAACUAGAGUCAAUAGCCCGAUCGAAUCCUCUCCAAGUGAGGAAGCACUCUGUAACUAGAGUCAACAUCUCUCGCGGGAUCAUUUGUUCCCGACAUUCACGCAAUGCCAUUUAGUUUUCUAAAUUCAUUGUUCACAAGGCAUUUUCUAAGGGAUCCACCUAUCCCUAGGUCCAUCGACCUCUAGUGUCAUUUACACUACAUUAAUGCCACUCGUCAUCAUUUAACAUUUGGAUGCCACUCGUGUGUUCUUUAACACUAAACACUACUUUCUAUGUCAUCAAUACCCCCAUCGGGUUCAUCUCUUUUCUUUCACAUCAUAGGAUCCACGUUCCGACCCAAUCCUCACCUAUCUAAGUUACCAAGCGUUCCAAGUACACUAGGUUAUCAAUUAGAAAGCAUAAGGAAUGGAGCUACUAUGCAAUCCUACAAUGCAACAUGAAGAGAUGAGAUUAAAUGCAAUCUAAGACAUAGAAAGGAGUUCGAAAGCUUCGGGAUGACACCCCCCACCUUUUACCAACGUAGAGGUUUUAGAAGCGCUCCUCGACGAGCUUUACGAAAAGGCUUUUGCCUUCCCUAAUCCAAGAUAGCGCCGAAACGACCGUAAUUCGCCGAUUGUUCUAAGUCCGCUCGACGAAUCGCGAAAUCGACUUCGCCCCCGCGUUUGGGCACCUAUCGAUGAGGUUUACAAGGCCUCAAAUGAGAUCAAUCUCAUACUUUACAAAAUGCCCCCAUUUGGAGCCCUAGGUUGCACAUAUAGCAAUCCACCAAUAAAACCCUAGAUUCAUAGGAUUGAUCUACUUAGAAGCAUGCUUGGGGUCCAUUUGACCCAUUCCAAAGCAUAAAAACCCAAAAACCCUAAGUUUACAAAGCUAGGGUUUAGUAGCUUACCUCAAGAGCUACACCAAUGGGAAGAGGAGAGGGAGAUGGAGGUGCUCAAAGCCUUCCUCUUGAUCUCCUUCUUCUUCUCCUUCCUUGUCUUCCUCUUCUUUUCCUUCCUCUCCUUCUUGUUCUCCUUCUCCUUCUUUCCUUUCUAGAGAGAGAGAGAGCAAUAGAGAGAUGAGAGUGAGAGAGAGAGGAAUGAGAGAGUGUGAGGGAGAGAGAGGGCCCAGCCCACUCUAAUAAAGGCCAUUUUGCAUUUAGGUCCCUCAACUUCUAACCCCUUGCACAGCCCUCACUGGGCAGUUUUCGCGCGGAGGGACCGGUCUCCCCGACUUGGGACCGGUCCCCGAGAGCUUCCCUCGUGUCACGCCCCGGGACCGCUACCAAUUUGGUACGAUCCGGGCGCGUCGAACAGACGCCGAACGGACAGCACCUCCCCUGUCCGCCCAAGGCUAAA